RNAcentral lists this ribosomal RNA (253 nucleotides) under uncultured bacterium. RNAcentral describes it as "partial 16S ribosomal RNA". It matches the Rfam family "Bacterial small subunit ribosomal RNA", at positions 524 to 776 of the family's 1533-position model. The record is from RNAcentral.
UACGUAGGGGGCAAGCGUUGUCCGGAAUCAUUGGGCGUAAAGGGCUCGUAGGCGGUUUGUCGCGUCGGGAGUGAAAACACCGGGCUUAACUCGGUGCUUGCUUUCGAUACGGGCAGACUAGAGGCAUGCAGGGGAGAACGGAAUUCCUGGUGUAGCGGUGAAAUGCGCAGAUAUCAGGAGGAACACCGGUGGCGAAGGCGGUUCUCUGGGCAUGUCCUGACGCUGAGGAGCGAAAGUGUGGGGAGCGAACAGG